UUCUUCAUGCUAUCAAUUCUUUUUACUGAACCUGCUUCAAUUCUGAAAUUCUAUUUUUGCUGUUAGCUUUGUUUUUUAAAUACUAAUAAAUGGCAAUAGAUUUGUAUAUGGUAUUACAAUUUACAGUAAUAAAUGUUCUCAUAUAUGUGUCUGUGAAUAACAUUUUGUAGAUAAGAUACCCACAUCAGAAUCAAGACAAAAAGAAGAUACAGAAUCUUCAGAUUCUGAGAUUAUCUCUGUGAGUGAUACACAGAAUUAUGUGUGUUUAACUGAGGCUACAUAUCAAAAAGAAAUAAAGACAAUAAAUGGCAAAAUAGAAGGUAAGAACCAUUUCUUAUUUAAAACAUCAUUUGACCAAUUAUUUGUCUAAAAGCAUGAGGACUGAUAUACUCUGACAGCCAAAGAAAAUUAUUUUUUAAAUGUGUAGCAUGGAAGGACAAAAGGAGUGAAAGUUACAUGUCUUCUCAGGUGUUGGCAACAGAUUAU
Molecule: long non-coding RNA, 486 nt
Filed under: Macaca mulatta (Rhesus monkey)
Lineage: Eukaryota; Metazoa; Chordata; Mammalia; Primates; Cercopithecidae
Description: lncRNA (ENSMMUG00000065243.1)
Source: RNAcentral